AGAGGAAGUAAAGUUGUAACAAGUUUCCGUAGGUGAACCUGCGGAAGGAUCAUUA
Molecule: ribosomal RNA, 55 nt
Filed under: Mycobilimbia tetramera
Lineage: Eukaryota; Fungi; Ascomycota; Lecanoromycetes; Lecideales; Lecideaceae
Description: partial 18S ribosomal RNA
Rfam family: Eukaryotic small subunit ribosomal RNA
Source: RNAcentral